GUUUGAAGAGGAAGGAAACCCUUACUAUUCCAGCGCAAGGGUAUGGGAUGAUGGGAUCAUUGAUCCAGCAGACACCAGACUGGUCUUGGGUCUCAGUUUUAGUGCAGCCCUCAACGCACCAAUAGAGAAGACUGACUUCGGUAUCUUCAGGAUGUAACUGGAAUAAAGGAUGUUUUCUGUUGGACAUGUACUGAAAAUUAACACAUGUAGUAGCCUUAAAAUUUUAGACUUCUCGAACAUGAGGCUGUUACAGUAAUUUUUUUAACACUGUGCAUUGUACUUUUCUACCUUAAAAAAAUCAGUGAGGAUAUUUAUUUAAUGAACAUCAAUUCCUUUUAAAUUUUCUUAGAGAAAUUUCUCUGUGGCUCAGUUUUACCACCCAUAAAGCGGAGACAGUAAUUUACGGUUAUCCUUUCUGACCCACAAAGUAUGAAAAGUUCUGUAAUCUGUAAACUCAGUUCUGUAAUCUGUAUUAUUGAGAUGAUUAAUAUAAAGUUGUAUUUUCACUGAAAUGAUUGUUUUGCUGGUUAUGCUUGGUGAUAUUUUAGCGGGCUUAUUUUUGAAAGGCAUCUGUUACUUCAGUGGCAUAAAGUGCCCUCACACUGCUGUGCAGCCAUCACCACCAUUCAUCUCCAGAAUUUGUUCUCAGUCCCAAACUGAAACUAUACCAUUCAAACAACAGCGCUCCCCAUUUCCCCCUCCCCCGAGCCCAUGACAUCUCCUUAUUAUUAUUUUUUUUUUGAGACAGGGUGUUUCUCUGUUGCCCAGGCUGGAGUGCGGUGGUGUGAUCUCGGCUCACUGCAGCUUCCACCUCCCGGGUUCAAGCGAUUCUUGUGCCUCAGCCUCCCAAGCAGCUGGGACUAUAGGCACGCACCACCACACCCAGCUAAGUUCUGUAUUUUUAGCAGAGACGGGAUUUCACUAGGUUGCCCAGGCUGGUCUCAAACUACUGACCUCAAGUGAUCCACCCGCCUCGGCCUCCCAAAGUGCUGGGAUUACAGGUGUGAGCCACCGCGCCUGACCACAUCUCCUUAUUCUUAAAUGUAUGUGUUUCUCAUGGUUUGAUUUAUUCUUGCUGGGCCAUUUCAGCCCCUGUCAUGGCUUCACUCGCCAUCUAAAUGCAGAUGAUUACUGCCUUGACGGUUCUUAACCCAGCUCUCCCCUGAGCUGCAGGCCUGCAUAUCCAGUAGGUCUACUGGACAUCUGUACUGGUUGUUGUGGAGGAACCUCUGGCUUGCUCAUUAAGUCCUACUGAUUUUCACUAUCCCCUGAAUUUCCCCACUUAUUUUUGUCUUUCACUAUCGCAGGCCUUAGAAGAGGUCUACCUGCCUCCAGUCUUACCUAGUCCAGUCUACCCCCUGGAGUUAGAAUGGCCAUCCUGAAGUGAAAAGUAAUGUCAGAUUACUCCCUUCAGUGAUUUCUUGUAGAAGUGCCAAUCCCUGAAUGCCACCAAGAUCUUAAUCUUCACAUCUUUAAUCUUAUCUCUUUGACUCCUCUUUACACCGGAGAACGGCUCCAGCUGUUCUAGCUCUCUUUCAGUUCUUUGAACCUUCCCACCUUAGGGUCUAUAAGGUUCCCUCUGCCCAAAUUGUUCUACUCUCCCUUCUUCUUCAACACAUCCUUCAGUUUAAGCACUUGCUUCUCUCAGUUUAAACUCCACUUCCUUAGGGAUGUCUCUGUGACCUCCCUGUGCUGGAUUAGCUUCCCUACUCUAUGCUCUUGUAAAACACUAUCUACUUCCUUUGUCAUAAACUCAUCAUUUUCCUAUAAACAUUAAUAUUGUCCUCCUGCUAGAAUGUAAGCUCCGUGAGAGCAAGGAUCCUCCUGUUUACCCUGUACCUCCAAUGUCUGGCACUUGUAGGUGCUCAAAUAUUCGUUGAAUGAAUGAAAAAUCCAUAUUGUAAUUGAUGUCCUCUGGCCACAUAGUUUUAAAAUUAGGUGAUUGAUUAUAUGACCGAAUAGAACUAUCAAAUGUUUUCCUAAUAAAGUCAAUAUU
This 1996-nucleotide long non-coding RNA is filed under the name Homo sapiens (human). Its description in RNAcentral is "HSALNT0089298". Lineage: Eukaryota; Metazoa; Chordata; Mammalia; Primates; Hominidae. The record is from RNAcentral.